Long non-coding RNA from Hyposmocoma kahamanoa, 349 nucleotides. RefSeq lists it as uncharacterized. The record is from RefSeq and is a predicted model, not a curated record. The transcript has 3 exons. NCBI's taxonomy places the organism in Eukaryota, Metazoa, Arthropoda, Insecta, Lepidoptera, Cosmopterigidae.
GAAUCUGUUGUAUUCGUUUCACACGUGCAGCCUGUGGGGUCAGUUACACGCGGCGGGCAUACGGCGCACUACAGCAACGCAUUCAGGACGAUGUUCAGACUUCCACCUCAUUGUAGCGUGUCAACCACGUUCGCUGAAAAACAUGUUGCCGAUUUUUACGCUUUUUUGCGAAAGCGUAGCGCAUCGCUACUCCGACGCAUACGUCUUAGUGCGAACGGCAUCGUGAGCGCAUUAGCUGAUAGAUGGGAAUCCCAAUGCUGAGGCGGUGGAUGCGCUUGCACACUUCUGCCAAUGCGUAGCCACUUGACCUAACGUUGUCUGGAUGCGAUGUUAUUUAUUAUUUAAAAAU